CCACAAGCAGGACAGGGGCCCAGAGAGCCCCCAACCCAGGCGACGCGAAGCUGGCGGCUGACAGGUGGGCCCAGUUUUGUCCCAGGUCUGUAGCCUACACGACCUGAGAAUGAGGCCCUAGGCCCCGCAGAACAGCGGCUUCAAACAUUCGUCGGCUUCAAAACCACCUGGAAGCUCGCUGGUUAAACUUCCACCCCCAGCGUUUCUGAUCCAACAGGUGCGGGAGGGGCCCAGGAAUUUGCAUCUCUAACAAUUUCCAGGUGAGGCCGCUGCCGGCUGAUCCAGGGACCAAACUUGGAGAACCAGGGCUUUAGAAAUGCUGUGAAUUUGGCCCAGUAUUACCUUGGUAGAGAGCAGUUUGGCUGGAGCAGCUGUGGCCUGUGUCAAGCUCUGAACGGAGGUGAGGAAGCAAGACUGGAAGCAAAGCAGAUUAUCUCCCGAGAAGUUCGGGGAGAGAAAGAGAGAGCAAGGAAGAGAGGAGAGAUA
This is a non-coding RNA of Miniopterus natalensis, 486 nucleotides long. Lineage: Eukaryota; Metazoa; Chordata; Mammalia; Chiroptera; Miniopteridae. The record is from RefSeq and is a predicted model, not a curated record.